This 307-nucleotide ribosomal RNA is filed under the name uncultured bacterium. RNAcentral's name for it is "bacterial SSU rRNA". It matches the Rfam family "Bacterial small subunit ribosomal RNA", at positions 771 to 1076 of the family's 1533-position model. The record is from RNAcentral.
ACCUAAUAGAUACCCAGGUAGUCCACGCCCUAAACGAUGCGAACUGGAUGUUGGGUACAUUACGGUACUCAGUGUCGAAAGCUAAACGCGUUAAGUUCGCCGCCUGGGGAGUACGGUCGCAAGACUGAAACUCAAAGGAAUUGACGGGGGCCCGCACAAGCGGUGGAGUAUGUGGUUUAAUUCGAUGCAACGCGAAGAACCUUACCUGGCCUUGACAUCUGUCGAAUCCUGCAGAGAUGCGGGAGUGCCGCAAGGAACGACAAGACAGGUGCUGCAUGGCUGUCGUCAGCUCGUGUCGUGAGAUGUU